CCACUUGCGAAGACACCAAGACUUUUGCAUCGUUUGGUACCACUGCAUUCUCGGGCCCAUCCAGUGCUAAAAAACAAUUGAUUAUAUUGAAGCUUAUACGCCGGUUCUCGAUUUUGCUGGUCUUCAGGUACCCUAUGCUGUAAUUACAUAUGCAUUAUGAAGCCACUUCUAACAAAAGGGGAAAAGAAGUUCACAACUCACUGGAACUAUUACAUUUUACAAAUUCUUUAGUUAAAUUCUUUAUUAUCUUGAGACAUUAAAUAUGAAAUUGUGAUCAAUCAAUUUUCGUCGUAAGAAAAUGAUUUAAAUAAUUGGCGCAAAUUUAACAAUAAAUAAAUGAAAAUGGAUUGUU
This is a long non-coding RNA of Pieris napi, 352 nucleotides long. RefSeq lists it as uncharacterized. Lineage: Eukaryota; Metazoa; Arthropoda; Insecta; Lepidoptera; Pieridae. The record is from RefSeq and is a predicted model, not a curated record. The transcript is spliced from 2 exons.